RNAcentral lists this long non-coding RNA (206 nucleotides) under Elaeis guineensis (African oil palm). RNAcentral's name for it is "long non-coding RNA (EGUI_LNC016810)". Lineage: Eukaryota; Viridiplantae; Streptophyta; Magnoliopsida; Arecales; Arecaceae. The record is from RNAcentral.
GAGAGCUCUGGUCCUAGCGUUGCUAAGCUCUAGUCCCAACCAGAUCAACGAACCUUUCAAAAAAAUAUUUGUGAAUUGAAUAGAAGCUCAGUGUUAUGUAACACUAACUUAAGAGUAAUCAGCAAGGAUGACAAAUGCAACAUUUGUGAAGAUAAUAGAAGCUUAGUAUCACAUGAAAUUAACAGAAGGAGUAAUCAGCUAGGAUG